This 492-nucleotide ribosomal RNA is filed under the name uncultured bacterium. RNAcentral describes it as "partial 16S ribosomal RNA". It matches the Rfam family "Bacterial small subunit ribosomal RNA", at positions 29 to 507 of the family's 1533-position model. The record is from RNAcentral.
AGUGAACGCUGGCGGUAGGCCUAACACAUGCAAGUCGAACGGCAGCACAGUAAGAGCUUGCUCUUACGGGUGGCGAGUGGCGGACGGGGGAGGAAUACAUCGGAAUCUACUUUGUCGGGGGGGAUAACGUAGGGAAACGUACGCUAAUACCGCAUACGACCUACGGGGGAAAGCAGGGGAUCUUCGGACCUUGCGCGAUGGAAUGAGCCGAUGUCGGAUUAGCUAGUUGGCGGGGUAAAGGCCCACCAAGGCGACUAUCCGUAGCUGGUCUGAGAGGGUGAUCCGCCACCCUGUCUCUGAGACACGGUCCCCACUCCUACGCGAGGCCGCAGUCCGGACUCCUGCGCGAGGGGGCCAUGGCUGAUACUGCCCUACCGGCUGGGUCCAGAAGCACCUCGGGUUCUUGAGCCAUGUUGUUGUUAGAGUUGUACAGCACGUUUACCCCCCGCUGUAAUGACGGUACCGAAAGAAUAAGCUCCGGCUAACUUCGUG